GGGGUGGUAACUCAAUUGGUAGAGUGCUAGCUUUGCAAGCUAGAAGUUGAGGGUUCAAGUCCCUUCCGCUCCA
Molecule: transfer RNA, 73 nt
Filed under: Phycisphaera sp.
Lineage: Bacteria; Pseudomonadati; Planctomycetota; Phycisphaerae; Phycisphaerales; Phycisphaeraceae
Description: tRNA-Ala
Rfam family: tRNA
About the family: Transfer RNA (tRNA) molecules are approximately 80 nucleotides in length. Their secondary structure includes four short double-helical elements and three loops (D, anti-codon, and T loops).
Source: RNAcentral